RNAcentral lists this ribosomal RNA (500 nucleotides) under uncultured bacterium. Its description in RNAcentral is "partial 16S ribosomal RNA". It matches the Rfam family "Bacterial small subunit ribosomal RNA", at positions 30 to 523 of the family's 1533-position model. The record is from RNAcentral.
AUUGAACGCUGGCGGAAUGCUUUACACAUGCAAGUCGAACGGCAGCACGGACUUCGGUCUGGUGGCGAGUGGCGAACGGGUGAGUAAUGUAUCGGAACGUGCCCAGUCGUGGGGGAUAACGUAGCGAAAGUUACGCUAAUACCGCAUACGAUCUACGGAUGAAAGCGGGGGACCGUAAGGCCUCGCGCGAUUGGAGCGGCCGAUGUCAGAUUAGGUAGUUGGUGAGGUAAAGGCUCACCAAGCCGACGAUCUGUAGCUGGUCUGAGAGGACGACCAGCCACACUGGGACUGAGACACGGCCCAGACUCCUACGGGAGGCAGCAGUGGGGAAUUUUGGACAAUGGGCGCAAGCCUGAUCCAGCCAUUCCGCGUGCAGGGCGAAGGCCUUCGGGUUGUAAACUGCUUUUGUACAGAACGAAAAGGUUUCUACUAAUACUAGGAGCUCAUGACGGUACUGUAAGAAUAAGCACCGGCUAACUACGUGCCAGCCGCCGCAGUAA